Anolis carolinensis (green anole) is the source of this 6538-nucleotide long non-coding RNA. RefSeq lists it as uncharacterized. The transcript is spliced from 3 exons. NCBI's taxonomy places the organism in Eukaryota, Metazoa, Chordata, Lepidosauria, Squamata, Anolidae. The record is from RefSeq and is a predicted model, not a curated record.
AAUAACUCAACAACAAAACGAACAUUCAGUCACUUGGAAGCAAAAGUUUCAAAGAGACUCGAUAGCUGCAUUGACAAAGCAAUGCUACAAAUGCCAAACUAUAAGAGAAAAUUCACCAGAACCUUGCUUUCAGGAAAAUGCAGAUCUAUUUGUGGGAGCAAGAAGAGGAAAUCCUUGAUUGUUUUCAUGUAUAUUUUCUGAAAUCAGCUGCUGCUAUUGCUUCUACAAGUCGCUUCUGGUGUGAGAGAAUUGGCCGUCUACAGAGACAGUGCCCAGGGGCACGCGGAUGUGUUACCAUACUGCUGGGAGGCUUCUCUCAUGUCUCCACAAGCUAGAGCUGACAGACGGGAGCUCACUCCAUCCCGCAGAUUCGAACCGGCAACCUUCAGUGCAGCAACCCAACCUUCAGGUCAGCAAUCCUGCCGGCACAAGGGUUUAACCCAUUGCGCCACCGCAGCUCCAUGAAGUGACUUGCAGUAUGUUCUCAAGUCGCUUCUCAUACAAUAAAAAAAACAACUCACUGCCAUAUGUACAGGACAACAGAUUUUAUUUUGGCAAUGGCUACAGAAGCACUGAAAAUGUAGACCAGUUAUUGCAAACGACGCCUGGAUUCUACCAAUAACGGACUGCUACUUCAUAGGACAUGAAAGCCAGGAGACUAUUACAGAAUUCAUUCAGAGGAGGGAAAGACUCCAACCCCCAACUGACGGAAUUCCAAACUCCAACUGAAAAAUAAUUCUCUGGCUACCUAACUCCAACCAUCACUUUGGCUCCGCCCAUCUACAGUUGCUAAGCAACUCGUCAUUUGCAUCAGCCAAUCAGACUGCACUGAAAGCAAUGGCUGCCUGAUUGCUCCUCCCCCUUGCUCUGCUGAGCUUCUGCAAGUAAGGCCUGCAAAAAUGGCCGCACACCAGCACUUAAAGGUAGGCCACUCACCAACCUUGUAAGAUAGGCAAGAUCCGUUACACUAGCCUUCAUUUGUAUAAGGUCUAGAAAUUUUAAUCAAAAAAUAAACCCAAAGAAAUUGGGUUGACUUAUCCAUGGGUCAGUGUGAGUACAGAACCUUAACACUUAACAGAAAGGAAUCAUCCCCUUCUCCGAGCAAGAGCGGUAAAAAGCAAGAGAUCAGUUCAUCCCAGGAGAACUUAAAAGAAGCACUAACCUCUUUUACUUUCUCCACCAUAGUGCUGCUUAUGACCUUUUUAAAUGCCUGUGCGGGGAAAUAAUUCUCGGCUUAUCCAUGGGUCAUAUCACAUUUGGCUCCCAAACAUGCUCUCGACUUAUACAUGAGGUUAAUUUAUACAUGCAUAUGUUUUUUAAUCCUUUUUCUUUGUUCUAUUAUUACCAUUUAAAAGUUGUAUUAAGGCUCAGAUGCCUGCUACCAGAAUAUUCAUUAAUCAGGACUCCUCUCCUUCACCCUCCUUCCCUAAACUGAAAAAGUCAAUAAGUCAGUUUUACCUCCUAAGUGGCACAUCUUAAAUCUUUUAUUAGAUCUACGAUUAGAAUACUGAGACCGUGAGAACUAAGAUGUUGUCACUGUCUUCCUUUCAAUUCUUAAGCUCCAUAAAUAGGAUAACAAGUGUGCCUAAAAGCCACUGAUUCCAAAAAUCAUUUACUUCAACAGAAACUUUAGUUGAUGCUACCAGAGAAACAUUUUUGUUACUCUGUGUUCAGAGAGCCAGAGGAAAGUUUGACCAAUAAUUGUCUAAAAUUACCCUUUCCUAUCCCUCCUCCCCCCCCCCCCCUUGGUACUCAAGAAGUCAGUUGCUUUCCAAAAAUUGACUAUGGUAGGAAUGUUCGAAGUGGCCAAAUCUCUCCCAAACCAAUAAAAACCUCGUAAAAGGGAAAAUGUGCAUCUUCAGGUGGAAAAACAGAGAAAUAAUAUUUCCAACUGGCCAGCUGAACCAUUCAGGAGCCAGUGGAGUCAGUAAAAGAGACAUCAGUUUUACACAGCUGGGGUAUAUAGUUUGGGAAGAAAUCAGCUUACAGGGACAAAAAGAGACUGGAGAGGAAUAGUAUUUCUUUUGCUGUAUAGAAAUGCCUUUGAAGGCAGUAUGCUUCUUGUCAAGUAAGAUGCUUUUGUCCCAGAUGUGGUUCUGAAUGCUCUAAGUCAGGUAGGAAGACCCAGUAUACUUAGAUGAUGUGGACUACAACUCCCACAACCCUGAAUGGUCAUGUUUGUUGAGGCUUAUAGUAGCUUUAUCCAAAAACAUGUGAAGAGCAGCUCAAAUGAACAUAGGAAAACUGCUAACUUUCCCCCCCUGUGUUUUUCCCUUCAAAUUUCCAUUCCCCCUACAUUAACAAACACGGUUCCCUUCACCAGAAGAUUGUUCCUCUUCUCACUUCAAAAUAGCCACUUUCCUUUAAAAAAAAGAUGGUUUAAGGCAGAAAUGGGCCUCUAAACGGCAAAAGACCCUGAAUUCCUCCAUACAAAUUGUCUUUCUGUUCCCCAACACCUCUACAUUUUUCAGUGCUGAAUGCUUCUGGUCACAGCUCAUCCAUAGGCCAUACUUCAAUUACUUUCAAUCUAAGAUACAACUAAAUUACCAAGGACUGUGAGGCAACAAGGGCUACCUUUACAUUGUAGCUUUGUUUGUUGUUGUUAUGUACCUUUAAGUUUUCCUAUCUGAACUGAGAGAGUGCAACCUGCUCAAGGUUACCCAGGGGGAUUCCAUGGCUGAGGAAGAUUUGAACCCUGGUCUCCAGAGUCACAAUCCAACACUAGGCUUGUGCUAAUAGUGUAACAUUAGUUGUUCUAGUAACUAUAUGUAGCCUCACAACUUCAGUGGGUUGUAGGACAACAGCCAGCGAGUUGUCGAGGGCCUUCAUGGCCAGAAUCACUGGGUUGCUGUGAGUUUUCUGGGCUGUAUAGCCAUGUCCCAGAGGCAUUCUCUCAUGACAUUUUGCCCACAUCUAUGGCAGGCAUCCUCAGAGGUUGUAGAAACUAGGCAAGUGGGAUUUAUAUAUAUGUGGAAGGUCCAGGAUGGAAGAAGGAACUCGUCUGUUGGAAACAGGGCUGUGAUGUCUUCUGGGAAAUCCUGGUUGAGUAGUGUGAUGGUUGAGUCUGCUACCGGGACCUUGGUAAAUAGAGACAUCACAUCGAAGCUAAUCAGUAUCAUUGGUGCUGAGCACCAAUGUUAGACUACAGAGAAGCCACUGAAAUCCACAAGCAUAUGGACAAUUUCAACAGAAAGUAGGAAACCAUGAAAAUGAACAAAACCAGUAUUUAAAAAACUCUAAAAUCAGGACAGUAAAUGAAGAACAUUGAAAAAUAGAGGAAUACCAGGAAUGAAGCAAUCAGGAACAGCUAACACCUUCCAACAAAGGAUUCCCUCAGGCAGGAAGCAGCCAGGCUUUGAAGCUGAAAGGCCAUUCAAUGCUAAUCAAAGUGGCCAAUUGCAAGAUUCACACUUGCCUCCAAGAGACAAGAGUUCUUUCUCCCACCCUGGACCUUCCACAGAUAUAUAAACCCCACUUGCCUAGUUUCCAACAGACCUCACAACCUCUGCCUGCCAUAGAUGUGAGUGAAACGUCAGGAGAAAAUGCUUCUCGAACAUGGCCAUAUCGCCCGGAAAACUCACAGCAAUCCAGUCCCCAAGUUACAAACAAGAUAGGUUCUGUAGGUUUGUUAUUAAGUUGAAUUUGUAUGUAAGUCAAAACAUUUUUACAUUUUUAAAGUGUAACUUCAGGCAAAUACAGACAGACAGACAGACUGACUCUGUUUGGGCUCCUUUUAUCUCCCUUUGGCUUCUCCUUCAUCCCUUCCUUAGGCUGUAAAUUGUAAUUUUUUAUGAUUUAUAAUAUUCUUUUAGAGUUUACUGAAAAACCGUGAAACAGCAAAUCUGCAAAAAGCGAACUGCGAAGUAGUGAGGGAACACUGUACAUACAAAAAUUAGGAUUACUAUUAGCCUCUUGCUUUAAACGAUGGAUGCUCAAAACACAUCAAGAAGCCCUGAAAAAAAGGUAACCAGUGUUAAGAGCUCUGCAAUGAAAUAACAGAAUCUGGACAAACAACAAUAAAGUUUCCCCUUAUAAUGGGUUAAUAUCUGCUUUGUAUUUCACACUUUGUAUAAAGUAUGGUAUUUGCAUCUGCGGAACAAGUAGCUAUGGUUUCGUUUAUCUGUGUCCAACUAAAUAUGUCAUCCUUAGACAUUUUCUAGCUCCUCCCAUGCAAUUCUAUGGAAUUCUUAGGAUGUACAUCUUUCCUUUCUAUAGGGUCACUAUUAUCCAUGAUUUUACACAUCCACGCAAAGUCCAGGAGCAUAUUCUACCAUGGAUAUGAGAGUCAUUUCAUACAUAUGCUUAAACUGUGGAUAAAUUAGAUAUAUUCUAAGAAGAUAUUCUUUCUAAAGAAAGAAAAAGAUACAUCCUUCUAUUAAAAUAUACAUUCCUUCUAUUUUUUGAGAGGUAGUUGCAGAACAAGGGGACAUGAAUUGUUGUUGUUGAAGAAAUCCAUUCCAUUUUAAAUGUGGACAAUAUAUUUUAAAGAGUCACACCUUACAACUUCUGUAUUUUUUUAAAACUCACAAACUUAUUUUUAGAAAGCAUGUGAAACCAGAAAAAAUGAGUAUCAGCGUGUAAAAAUAUCUGCCAGAGUAGAGGGCCAAGAUUAGUCAGAACAACACUGCUGAGUUCUUGUUUCUUUGCUUUUAAUUACUGAAUCUUCACAGCGAUUUAAAGUUCAAGGCAUAAAAGUAUUCUCAGAUAGUGUUCCAUUUCAUAAAACAUUUGCAUUUAACGGAAUUCUAAGUGUGAGCCGCCCAACAUAAACACAAAAGAAUUGUACAAAGUUACAGACCAUAAGAAGUGACAAUUCUAUAGUCUUGGAAGGCUUAAUUCUCUUAUGCACCUUAAGUGACCCUUUGGAAGAUUAAGUCUACAAUCUUCACACGCUUUCGAAGAGUGUCUCCCUGAGUUCAGUUUGCAACUGGAUAAACAAACCCAGGACCGAUUGUUCUAUAUUCUGCUCAAACAUGCUAAAAUGUUUUUCCAUCAAAAUUUUGUAUUAAAUAUUUCCGUACAUAGCCAGUGACAAAUCAAAGUAAGAGGUUUCCAUAUCUGGAGAAAGAUGGUACAAACGUCCAACUGCUCCAAUUAUCAUCUAUUGCAAUUUUGAUCUAGAAACCUCUCCUUGCCGAUUAUGUUCUCCUGAGAAGGAUUAAUUUAUAAUCAAUGUACUUAAUUUAUCCAUUUCUCUGUAAUAUAAUCUCCAGUCAUUUCUAAGGGACUUUAUAAAACUCUAAAAGAACUAAGAGCUUCCAGAAAUUAUUAAUUUGUUGAGAAGACGUGUGAAGACUGUGAAACUUUGGGAGGAAAAUGCUAUUGAUGGGAAUCUAAAAGAAGAUGGCAAACCUCCUAAGUAACUGUUGCCAAGAAAAUCACAUGACAGUUUUGCCUUAGGGUCACUAUAAGUUGGAAAUGACAUGAAGGCACACAAACACAAGCUAAUGCAAGAAAGCCACAAGCAGCAAGUUGAAAGGGGCCCAAAUAAAUGGUAAUUAUAAUUAUAAUUAAGUAGUUAGGAUACAAUAUUCUAUUGGAAAUACAAGAAUCACUAUGGCCUUAUGCCCUUUGAAAAAUAAUGCCAUUAAAGAUUAAGAGUAGACCUCUUAGAAUUGAAUAGGUAACAAAGUAGUGAUUCUUUAUUUUCAGUUCUUCAGAUUGAAACAUCUAAUUUAGAAGGAAUUCUGUUCACAGUAGCACACAACAGAUUACAAUGAGUAAAUGCUGUGUUUGACAAUUUAUCAAGGUACACUCUGCUCCCAUCUACAACAUAUUAAGAUCUCAUUAUGGGUGCAAAGGCCAGGACACCCUGAACUCACCACGAAGAUGCAGCAAGUGUUGUCCUAUUUCUAACAGAUAUGUGAAUUGGGAUUUGCAGAUGUCACUCAAGAUGUAUGAUAGCUGUAGAUGUCUGUUGGAACUCACGGUUGGGUGUCUCACUUCACAGAUUACAGAAGGAGCCAGAAAAGAACAAACAUCUUGCUUCCUUUUGAUAACGUAUCAAACUCUUUGCAAGCUGAAUGUGGAAUGCAUGUUUCAUCAUAACCCCAAAUACAUGCAGAGGGGGAAGUGGGAUUAUAGUUCUCACUUCCUCAACCUACUCAGGCAAUGGUGUGUUCUGUCCACCAAUCCACAGAUCCUUGAAAAGACAGUAUCAAUAACCUUAAGCCCCAGCAUAAAGGUUUUUCAAAGAGUUGACCCUACUACCUACUCCCAUACAUGUGAUUCAACUGACAUACAUUAUUUUACAAAAAAAAAAUAUGUAUAACUUAAGAGUAUUUUGUUAAUGCAUGCUCAUUAGAAAGAAACUGCUAGUUUUGACUUAACAGUAAUGGAAAUAGUCUUCAUUCUUAAAGCACUGUGUAGAAAAUAAAAUUCUCUUCACAUAAUCAGUUUUUCAAAGUCAGCAAUUGUCUUUGUCUUCCUUCCUAAAAUGUAAACUCCGGGUAUCAGGAUUCAGUAGACUGCAAUAUCCAUAGUUUCCCAGAUUCCUGACAGACUUGAUUGCAGCUAAUUGUGUCCACUAAUAUCUAAA